RNAcentral lists this ribosomal RNA (472 nucleotides) under uncultured bacterium. RNAcentral describes it as "partial 16S ribosomal RNA". It matches the Rfam family "Bacterial small subunit ribosomal RNA", at positions 28 to 507 of the family's 1533-position model. The record is from RNAcentral.
GACGAACGCUGGCGGCGUGCUUAACACUUGCAAGUCGAACGAUGAACCCGGAGCUUGCUCUGGGGGAUUAGUGGCGAACGGGUGAGUAACACGUGAGUAACCUGCCCUGGACUCUGGGAUAAGCGUUGGAAACGACGUCUAAUACCGGAUAGGACCUUGGAUCGCAUGAUCUGGGGUGGAAAGUUUUUUCGGUCUGGGAUGGACUCGCGGCCUAUCAGCUUGUUGGUGAGGUAAUGGCUCACCAAGGCGUCGACGGGUAGCCGGCCUGAGAGGGUGACCGGCCACACUGGGACUGAGACACGGCCCAGACUCCUACGGGAGGCAGCAGUGGGGAAUAUUGCACAAUGGGCGAAAGCCUGAUGCAGCAACGCCGCGUGCGGGAUGACGGCCUUCGGGUUGUAAACCGCUUUUAGUAGGGAAGAAGGGCUUCGGCUUGACGGUACCUGCAGAAAAAGGACCGGCUAACUACGUG